UUCCGGUUGAUCCCGCCGGACCUGACUGCUAUCGGAUUGAUACUAAGCCAUGCGAGUCUUUGUAGUAAUACAAGGCAUACGGCUCAGUAACGCGUAGUCAACCUACCCUAUGGACAAGAAUAAUCUCGGGAAACUGAGCAUAAUUCUUGAUAGAUCAUAAUGCCUGGAAUGGUAUAUGGUUAAAAUGAUUCGUCGCCAUAGGAUGGGACUGCGGCCUAUCAGCUUGUUGGUGAGGUAAUGGCCCACCAAGGCGAUUACAGGUACGGGCUCUGAGAGGAGAAGCCCGGAGAUGGGUACUGAGACAAGGACCCAGGCCCUAUGGGGCGCAGCAGGCGAGAAAACUUUGCAAUGUGCGAAAGCACGACAAGGUUAGUCCGAGUGAUUUCUGCUAAAGAGAUCUUUUGCUAGUUAUAAAACCACUAGUGAAUAAGGGGUGGGCAAGUUCUGGUGUCAGCCGCCGCGGUAAAACCAGCACCUCAAGUGGUCAGGAUGAUUAUUGGGCCUAAAGCAUCCGUAGCCGGCUCUGUAAGUUUUCGGUUAAAUCUAUGCGCUCAACGUAUGGGCUGCCGAAAAUACUGUAGAGAUAGGGAGUGGGAGAGGUAGACGGUACUCGGUAGGAAGGGGUAAAAUCCUUUGAUCUAUCGAUGACCACCUGUGGCGAAGGCGGUCUACCAGAACACGUUCGACGGUGAGGGAUGAAAGCUGGGGGAGCAAACCGGAUUAGAUACCCGGGUAGUCCCAGCUGUAAACGAUGCAGACUCGAUGAUGCAUUGGCAUAUAGCCAGUGCAGUGUCGCAGGGAAGCCGUUAAGUCUGCCGCCUGGGAAGUACGUACGCAAGUAUGAAACUUAAAGGAAUUGGCGGGGGAGCACCACAAGGGGUGAAGCCUGCGGUUCAAUUGGAGUCAACGCCGGG
RNAcentral lists this ribosomal RNA (914 nucleotides) under uncultured marine archaeon. Its description in RNAcentral is "bacterial SSU rRNA". It matches the Rfam family "Archaeal small subunit ribosomal RNA", at positions 1 to 922 of the family's 1478-position model. The record is from RNAcentral.